UCCGGUUUGGCACCGGCAGUCUCUCUAGAGUGCCCAACUAAAUGGUGGCAACUAGAGACGAGGGUUGCGCUCGUUGCGGGACUUAACCCAACAUCCCACGACACGAGCUGACGACAGCCAUGCAGCACCUGUGUCCAGGCCCCGUAAGGGGAGGAAGGCAUCUCUGCCAACCGUCCUGGCAUGUCAAACGCUGGUAAGGUUCUGCGCGUUGCUUCGAAUUGAACCACAUGCUCCACCGCUUGUGCGGGCCCCCGUCAAUUCCUUUGAGUUUUAAUCUUGCGACCGUACUCCCCAGGCGGAAUGCUUAAUGCGUUAGCUGCGCCACCGAAGAGCAUGCUCUCCAACGGCUGGCAUUCAUCGUUUACGGCGUGGACUAC
RNAcentral lists this unclassified non-coding RNA (377 nucleotides) under uncultured Alphaproteobacteria bacterium. RNAcentral's name for it is "contains 16S-23S intergenic spacer region". The record is from RNAcentral. Lineage: Bacteria; Pseudomonadati; Pseudomonadota; Alphaproteobacteria.